UCACUGAGUAGUGUCCGAGUUGGCACAAUUUGUACGACUCAGAGAAGCGAACAACGCGGGCCCCACGAGUUUUGAAUCUCGCUCGCAACGCGACAUUUGAGGAGGUGCAAUUCUCGACUCCAUUCGCUUGACUACCCAUGACUCAUUCGAAGAAAAUCAUCCGAAACUUCCACAAAAAUCUCUCUUCCCUUUCCCAUUACUUGUUUUCUUCUUCUUUUGUUUGUGAUUGUUAUUUUCUGUAACUAAGGGAAGAGGUUAUUGAAGAAAAGGAAAUGCAUAAGGUGAAGGAACGGUCAAGAUCCUCCAGACCAACCACCAUCCAUGGCUUUGCUCAGUAUGGAGAUCUCUUUGCCUUUCAAAAGCUACUUCGAGACAACCCUUCUCUUCUUAAUGACAGAAAUCCCGUUGUAAGCUCUCUUUCUAUCUGUAUAAUGUGGACGUGAGAAAGGACAUUUUCGAUUUGAGGAUCUUGACGAUUUAUCAAGAACAAGAUUUAUUUAUUUAUUAUUAUUUUGAAUUUCCAUUUUCAAGUUUCUUCAGCUUAAGAUAGAUAUAAAUUAAUGAAUCUGGGAUUUCGGGUUUGCUUUAUUUAUGCAACUUCUGACUGCAAUUUUGUCAAAAGAAGGAAAUCUUUAUCUGCAACUGCAAAUAUUUCAACUCAAAUUCAAUUCCUUUCCGUUGGUGAAAUUUGAAAUUCCCAAAUCGAAAGCUUGUUCCAUUACGUGUUGGAUUUCAUGCUCAUGUGCCUAUAAGAUGCAGAUAAUAACAUGUGAUUAGAUGGAUAAUUUUUGUGCAUUUGAACUAUGAUGCAUUUGGCUGGCAAAGGGCAAGAUUUGAUAUGAUUUCCAUCUCAGAGAAAUUCAGUACAUGAUUUUAUGGUAAUAACGAUGAGAGGACGUGAUGAUACUGGUGAAAUCUUUAGUCAUACCAGGGUCUGUGAAGAUUGCUUCUUUUUAGUGCAUCAUUAUUCAUGAAGAUGAUCUUUAAGUUGGGGCUCGGGAUAAGGACGAGGGUGGGUAAUUAUACAUGAAGAUGAACUCUAAGUCGGAGGUGUGGGGGAAUGAAGAUGGUGUCAUGAUGUGAAGUAAUUUCAGUGGGUUAUAUAACAGUAUGAUAAAUGAAGUCAUUAUGUUGUGGAUAUCGCAGUGUUCUAUGGAUUUUCAUCUUUCAUUGAAUUCUUGUGCUAGUUUAGCGAGGUUGGAUUUGUGAUUCUAUUCCAAUUGUUAAAUCUUGCAUGCGAAACCUUUACAAUAUGAGUUCUUUCUUCGACCUUCAUUAUUUAGUUAUUCACUGAGCCAUUUCUCCGCCUUACCUCUUGCCCAU
Molecule: long non-coding RNA, 1323 nt
Filed under: Olea europaea (common olive)
Lineage: Eukaryota; Viridiplantae; Streptophyta; Magnoliopsida; Lamiales; Oleaceae
Description: long non-coding RNA (OEUR_LNC013931)
Source: RNAcentral